Centropristis striata (black sea bass) is the source of this 719-nucleotide long non-coding RNA. RefSeq lists it as uncharacterized. The transcript is spliced from 5 exons. NCBI's taxonomy places the organism in Eukaryota, Metazoa, Chordata, Actinopteri, Perciformes, Serranidae. The record is from RefSeq and is a predicted model, not a curated record.
UUCACCUUCCACUUCCGCCCAAUGCAUACCACAUACCACAUACCAGUCACCGCACCUCGACGGGGAAGGGCAAACCUCCACCCGCCUAAAGGUACAUGAAGGAUCCAUGACUGAAAUUGAUCAGACAGGCAGACCCAUGGGGUUACAGUCUUGCAAGCCUUGCAACUCCUGCCUGCAAAGUAAGGAGGAAUGCAGAGCGGCUGGUGGCUGCUCGUGUGUGUGUGACGACUGGAGAUAUUGCUCUGAACACUGCUGUGACAUCUGCUGCCAGAUGUGUGUGGACGUGUGCUCUGGCUUGUGUUCAGGAGACUGCAGCUACACCUUCUGUACCCUCUUCCUCAGCCUGGCACAGAACUGUGUCUCAUAUUUUACCACCCAACAAACUGAAACAUCAGGCACAACAUACACAACGGCAUGCCUAAUGAACACAGACUUGUGACCAAACUGAAAGUGUGAACUGAUUUAAAAAUACCAGCGGCUGUGGAGCCGAGCUAUCUGCUGCUGUCUAAUGAGGACGGAGAUAAGAAGCGCACACACUUUGACAACGGGUGUGAAAAGACCUGUCUGCAGAGCGGCAGUGUGUAUGAAUGCAUGUGGAUUUGUCAGUUCAAAGUUUAUGAAAUUUUUUGUGUGUAAAGACAAAUGUAUGAUUGUUAAUAGGCUAUUGUGGAAUGGAAUAUGUGACGAAUAAAGUUUGAGCAUGACAUGCUGACGGACUG